Long non-coding RNA from Ictalurus punctatus (channel catfish), 2821 nucleotides. The record is from Ensembl. Lineage: Eukaryota; Metazoa; Chordata; Actinopteri; Siluriformes; Ictaluridae.
UUUGAUGUUAUGCCAUCUGGUGACCAAGUUCUUAAGUUUUUCAGAAGCCAAGACUUUAUCCCAACUCCCCAGGGAGAAAGCACAACACCAAACCCAUACCCAACAAGACCUCACUGUCAGGAUUCCACCAGUCACAUCCUUCAGGCUCACCCAGACACACCCCAUUCCUCUACUCCUCCUUUGGUGGCCUUCUCAAACUUGGCACUAAGCACACCAAGAGGAUAUGGGGCUCAAAUGGAAGUUAAUCCAUAUAACCAGUACCCGUACCAGGCAGGCCCAGUGCUUCCGCCCUAUCCCAAUGCUCCCAGGAGGGAUGUGAUUCUAGAUCCUGCUCUUCGACCUACUGGACUUCGGAGCCAGAGGGACUUGAGCCGGCAGGGCAGUCUGUCUGGUCCCAACUGGUCCAUUCACACAGAGGGUCAGACUCGCAGUUACUGUUAAAGCACAAACCAAUGGCAAGGGUAAAGGUUCUUUGGACUGGAAGUGAAAUCCAUUGGGAGGAAUGUCCUAAAAUAACCCCACUGCUGUGCUCCAUAACUGGACCUUUAGAGUAAAGGAAAGAGAAGUAGACAGAGAGGGUAGGGCAUGAUGGUUAAGAAAAUCAAAGAAGUGAACCAUAUAGUGGCUUAGAUAUGUAAACAUUCCAGUAGACACUGUGUUGUCCAGCAGAGGUCAUCAGAGAGUUGUAUGGCUGCUGUCCCUCUGAAGGGAGUAUCAGGUAUUCUGCGUGGUGGCGUUUUUCUGCUUUAGGUACUUUCUGGGUUUAAGUUUAUUGCUAGAACACUAGGUGACAGGACAGAGAGUGGUGUCCAGGGAAAUAAGCUUAGUAUGUGUUUUUUUGUUUUGUUUUGUUUUUUUGUUUUUUUUUCUUUUUUAAAUGCUAAAAUAAUUUGACGGUAACCUUAUGCUGCUGGCUGGUUCUAAAGAAGCAACUUGUUUCAUUUUGCCUUUGUAUUUUUUUUUUGUUGUUGUUUGUAGUAGUCAGUUUAAUUUUUACAGCUUUUUAACAUUUUAAGUUAAUUUAACUUCAUUACAAAGAGCAUUUAAGAUAUUUUUUGCUGUGUUUCAAAGACUGCGAAGAAUAGGAAUGUUAUAGUUUUUAGUCAUUGGUUUUUGUUUGUGUGUGUAAGAGAGAGAGAAUGGGCAUGUGUUUUCAUUUGUGUAUGGAUGUUUGUGUCCCAAUAAUCUUUGUCCUGUGAAACGUACAUGAAAGAACGUGAAGGAAACACUGCCAUGUGCUUAAGGGAUAAUGUGUAUGUGUGCAUCUACGUACAUUUUGUGUGUGUCCAUAUUUAUUGGAAGGUACUGCACAUGUAAUCAUAACAUGUACUGGAUAUGGGAUUUCAUAGCUGAACUGUCAACCGAUGUGCUAAUCAAUGCAUCAGUCAUUACAUUAUUGGUAAAUACAGAGGUUUCCUCAGACCAAUCAGUUGCACUGUAGGAGUUUUUGCUGCAUGGCCCAUCAAAGGUUUCAUGACAUCUUGUUGUUAUUGUUAUUAUUAUUAUUAAAGAAAAUGUUCUGUUAUUGAAGCAUUGUAAGAAUCUAGAUGUCUCCAAAUUUUUGAUGGGCAAUGUUUGUCCAGUUCUGAUACCUGUUGAAUCUGUUGUCUUUCUGAGGAAUUGUUGAAAUGUUCUCACAAAUCUGUGUUCACAUAAUGAUUAUAUUCUUACCACAACAAAAGUGUGCGACGUGUAUCCGAGGUUCUUAGUUCAGUUCGGUUAGUUUAGUUCCGACACUAAUACACCUGUACGUUUUCCCCCCUCGAGACUUAUCUAAAUAUUGGAGCCAAGUUUAUUAGGUAGUUCUUGCAUACUGCCAAAGUUUAGUUCAGCAGAAACAGGGUUGGGCAGCUCAACACUACUGUAAUGCAAUAUGACAAUGUGAGGAUUCCUUAGGGCAAGUGAGCUCCUGGUGAUCUACCCUUAACUUAAACACGCCUGACUCUUAAAAAAAAAUUUAAGCACGCCCGAGUAGAUCUCCAAUGAAUGGAUUUGGGCGUGAUGGCUUUUUCGGUUGUGUUUCAUUUCUGUAGGAGGGUAGCGCUCCGGGAACAUAGUUGCACACCUCUUAGGGUGGAACAAGGAUGACACCUAUAGUGGUUUCCUAGCAACGGAUGCCUUUCCUUGAGCACUUGUUUUGUAACGUGCCGAGACUUGAACAUUACCUCUUGAGUCAGUGUUAAUAGGGAUACAUGAGCCUUUAAUUGCUCCUUUCUCGUUAGCAGUAUGUCUGGUGUCCUUAAAUAUCUGGCCCUAAAUGUUUAAGGUGAAUACAUUGCACAUUUUAAUUUUUUUGUUUGUUUGCUGCGCAGGAGUGAGCAACUUUGUUGAAGCCUUUAAAGUACAAAGUUUAGGUGUGUGUGUGUGUGUGUGUGUGUGUGUGUGUGUGUGUGUGUGUGUGUGAAGGCUCUUGUCUUUUUUUUUUUUAUUAUUAUUUUUAUUUUUUUUUAUCCAUAACUAUGCAGUGAAGUACAAGGGAAGAUUUCCUACAACAUAGUAACUCUUUACUCCAAAUGUAUGUAUUCCAGUAGUGAGGGGUGUGGGUGUGUGUGCGCGCACGUGUGUUGGUUAAUGUGCUUUAAACCUAAACAUCCUGUUCAAUGGUCUCUUUUUUGCCUUGUAGCAAUUUGCAAAAGGCAAUUCACCAUGUUUUGUAAUAUUUACCGAUGUGUGAAUAAAAAAAAAAAAACUUGGAUGCAUCAGUCAUGUAUAGUGUUUGUGUGAUAUUUUAUACAACAAAGGUUCUGUUGAAUUCUCUAAUCUGAUUGGUCAGAAGAUUCAUUGAUUGAUUAAUUUUCUGUAACAGCAGCUCUAAUAGUAA